UUAGGGCUCAAGCCUGGAGGGCGAGAGCCCUAUUGUUUUCCUUAGGAUUAUUUUUUAUUAUUAUUAUUAUUAUUAUUAUUAUUAUUAUUUUUUUCCAACGUCUCGGGGGCUUUUGGGGCCCUUAACAUACUCGAAAACUCUUGAAAAUUGGCACACACAUUGGAACCUGCGGCCAUUAGGAGGCUGCAGAGGCUGAGACCCGGGCGUGGCACAGGGGCUCUACGGCGCCCCCUGGAACACAGUCAGAAUUGUUGAUGUAUAGUUCAAACAUACUUGCACGUAUUCAUAUGAAACUCAGUACACAUAUAGAUCGCAUUGUGCCGAACAACUUUCGUAUUGCAUGUCAUAGGCUCCACCCAACAGGAAGUCAGCUAUUUAGAGCUAUGUAAAAAGCGCAUGCUCUGGAAUUUGAUAUACUUGUCAUAGGUUUUUUACCCGAUUGCCACCAAACUUGGUCAACAUGAUCUCAAGACAUUGGGGAUGCAAAAUUGCCAGGGGAUUUUUGAUAUCUCGAACGGUUUGCUCGUGGCGAGGCGUUAAAAUUAUGGCGAGAAAUGAGAAACAGGAAGUGUCUAAUAACAUCCACAUACAUUUCCUGAUUUUAAUUAAACUUCAUCAAUUUGUUCGUUGUAUGAUGCCGAUCGCAUAUAUGUGACUAUUAGGAGUCAAAAUUAUAGCGCCACCAACUGGCAGCAGGAAGUGUGUCAUUUUCAAAAAUGCUUUGAAUUCAGCAUCUUAUUUUUACUCAAUUUGCUUCAAACUUCAUCAGAAUAAUGACAAAAACACGGACCAUGUAAAACUGUUGAGGGGAUAUUGAUAUCUAAUAUAGUGUUGCCAUGGCAACAUAUCAAACUGGAAUAUUUUUCUGUAUAAUAUAUUCUGAUUUUUGAGGCAGAUAACAUGGUUAGAAUUUCAUGAAACUCAGAACACAUAUCAGUAUUAAUGAUAGCUAGACACUGGCAAAAG
Long non-coding RNA from Cyprinus carpio carpio, 966 nucleotides. NCBI's taxonomy places the organism in Eukaryota, Metazoa, Chordata, Actinopteri, Cypriniformes, Cyprinidae. The record is from Ensembl.